UUUCAACAUCAUCAUGAAAUAUUUAACAAGCUAGAGAACACAUAGGCUAGCACAAUACGUAGUUUCACAUAGUUCAUCCAUAUAUAUACAUACAUACGUUUUACAUUGUUCGUCAAUACAAAUGAAAAAACUAAACACUAGCAGUCCAUCAAUGCCAGCUUCCAUGAAAUGAAUCAAAUCUGCAAAAACGAGAGUAAUUAAGAAAGUUAGAAG
RNAcentral lists this long non-coding RNA (213 nucleotides) under Hordeum vulgare. RNAcentral describes it as "long non-coding RNA (HVUL_LNC005057)". The record is from RNAcentral. Lineage: Eukaryota; Viridiplantae; Streptophyta; Magnoliopsida; Poales; Poaceae.